RNAcentral lists this small nucleolar RNA (101 nucleotides) under Marmota monax (woodchuck). It matches the Rfam family "Small nucleolar RNA U13". Lineage: Eukaryota; Metazoa; Chordata; Mammalia; Rodentia; Sciuridae. The record is from RNAcentral.
CUUUUUUGGUGUAUAAACAUGAUGAUUAGGUGUACACUGUUGUGUGAGUUGUAUCCCUCUCUUUAAACCUUGUUAUAACAUCAGCACAUUACCUGUCUGAU